RNAcentral lists this long non-coding RNA (11783 nucleotides) under Manihot esculenta (cassava). RNAcentral's name for it is "long non-coding RNA (MESC_LNC005006)". The record is from RNAcentral. Lineage: Eukaryota; Viridiplantae; Streptophyta; Magnoliopsida; Malpighiales; Euphorbiaceae.
AAACAUCUCCUGGGUAUAAGACUUUGGUGAACAAACGAUUGGGGUUGGAUGUGACAAAGCCAACAUAAAGGGUGCCCUCCACAACUACAAGGAUCUCCGUGGCACGAGGGUGAGUGUGGGGAGGGUUUAAGCCACCAUUAGGAGCAAAGUCUAACCGAGCGAGAGAAAUACCAAGAGUAUUAAGUCCUGGUAUUUUGUCAACGUUUACGAGGGUGACAUUUGAUCCAACUCGGUUUCCUGUAAAUGCAGGAAUAUUGAGUCCCGAAAUAGAGAAAUCACCAGCUACAGUGAGAUUUGGAUUCUUGCAGAACUUCCCAUUAACAAACACUGCAUUAAUAUAUAAAAAGUUAGUAUCAGUAUCCAUUAGACAUGAAAAUAACAAAAUAAGAAAAAAGAUUAAUAUUGUGAUGUCUACCAGCAUUCUUAGGUUCAGGAAUUGCAACACAGAAGUCCUGGAGAGGGCUAGGGUCAAAGGCGGAGGCAAAAGAGAAAGCCACAGCCAAAGCUAAUAAGGCAAGGAAAUGAAAGGCCUUCAUUUUAGGACUGCUUGAUUUCUCUAGCCUUUUGUUGUUGAGCUGAAGGUGUGAAAAAUCUUGCAGCAACGGAUGAGUAUUUAUAGGUGAAGCUCUCUCAGCUAUUCUCAAGGGUUAGCUGUUUUUUAUUUCACCAAACCACGAAUUAAUUUUCAAUGUCAACUUGGACCGCUUCAAAUCGUUCGAGUUUACGUGAGUUUUGAAGUUUUCAUUUUCACCUCCUAUAGUUUUAUUUAUUUUUCUCUUCCCCUUUGUUUUUUUGGUUUAAUGGAGAGUUAGUGUUUGGGAAUUUGUACAGCUAAAUUGUUUACAAGGGAUUUGAUGGCUGCUAAAAAAGUUAUUUUUUAAUCUAACAAUAAUAUUAGGUAUGUACAAUAUAAUAAGGGAAAGUGAUGGAAUUUGAAAGAGUUUAAUUAGUUGGUUAUCCUUUUAAAACUAUGUAUUGAACAAGUCCUUUGUGGAGACAUGGUAAAAAGAUUGUACAACUGAAUAGAAACAUAUAUAGUAUAACAUCCCAUUUUAUGAAAUCAAAAUUUUCCCAUUUGCUUGAUAAAGUAUACAUUUUUUAAUUUAUUUUACUCUUCCCUCUGUUUUUUGGUUUAAUGGAGAGUUAGGGUUUGAGAAUUUGUACUGCUAAAAAUUGUUUAUAAGAAAUAUUAAUUGUUAUUUUUGAAAUAAAAUAAUUUUAAAAUUUUUAAGUAUUUAAUUUUGCUUAUCAUAAUAAUUAAUAAAUAUAAUAUAAUAGCAUAGUCUUAUGACUAAUGGCUUCUAAAAACUUAUUUUUUAAAUUUACGUAUAAUCCAAUCUCCGACUUAUUUAGUGGUUCUCGUGAAGACUUAAUAACAUAAUGGCCUUAUUUUACAGAAAAAAAAAAUCCAUUGUUUUCACUGUGAAAAUCCAUUGUUUUCAUUAUGACCUCUUCUCAUGACUAAGUACAAGCAAGCGGAUUUUAAUUUUUUUACUUGGUCUUGUUUCAAAGAUUAAGUCAAUAUUUAUUUGUCAAAUUAUAAAGAAUUCAUAUAGUCAUAGAUAUAUAUAUCCAUUUAAUAAAUGGAAAAAAGAAAUAUUGCAGAAAAUUAGUGCAAGUCAUUUACAGAUUUAUAUUAAUCUACAUUGCUUUUUAACCCAGAAGGAGAAAAGUUUCAUUUAGUGUGUUAAAAUUGUGGCCUAGCGUAGAACUAAUCAAAGAUACUGAAAAUUAAUUCAAACAUUAAGAGAAACAAAAGAAAGAUGACCUAGCGUAGAUAGUGAUUUAUAUUUUUGUUUUGAAUUGCAUAUUGCAUUACAAGUCAAGACUCAAGAUUCUUGGAGACAAUUAAGCUCCCAUGCAUGCAAAAUAUUGCCCUUUCUGAACACAACCAGCCAGCCAAUAUAGUUUCAGUGAGGCAAAAAGCUCCAAAGGGAACUCUUAAAUGCAAUAGUAAUGUGGCUAAGGAAGAAGGAGAUUCGCAGGCAACUGUAGCAGUUAUAAUCCAAGCCACUCAAUUAGCUUAAGGUAUGGGGGACACUUUUACUAAAACAUCCCAUGUCAAUUUUUUAAAAAAAUUUGAAAUUGUAUAUGUAACGACCCGAAAAUCGGACCGCUACCGGUGCUAGGAUCCAGGUCGGCUUAAGGCCGCCGAGACCCGUAGCAAGCCUGACAUACAACCUGUAAACCUGUUUAAUCCCAUACAUGAUCAAGAACAUACAUAAAAAUUUGAACUUUUCUUUACAUUCAUUCAUUCACCAAAUUCAACCUGUGCAUGCACUAUACAUAACAUGAUUAUAAACAUUUAACUUCUCUGUGGAGUCCCAACAGUGCCCCAAUGGGGUGACAUUUAUAUAUAUAGAGUUUGGUUACAAAAGCAUCAUAAAACGUAGAUCAUGUUUAUAAAAGGGAUUACUAUACAAACUCGGUCAAGCACAACUUCUAAACCUCAAUCUCAUAAUCAACAUAUACAUGACAUAACUAUUCAUAACUUUUACAUCAUUAUACAAUUUAUCAUGUCCACAUUCUAUUUAUUACAACUCAAGACUUCAUUCACCUUGACUUCUCUGUCUAGCCUGUAUCUGCAACCCUGGGGGAUUAGGGAAAAUGGGUGAGCUACUAGAGCCCAGUGAGCAGAAUAAUAAAACAUUUAAAUCAUAUGCUAUAAUGGAAUGCAACACGUCACAGACAAAUCACAUCACGGAUGGUAUUGUCACCAAGAGUCCUCUACAUUCCAAAGUGCCGGGACGUAGAAUGGGUCAACCGGUCUUUCUCUUAAUAUAACAUAACAUAACAUAGCAUUCCAAUGUGCCAGGGACGUAGAAUGGGUACAACCUGGACUUUCUCUUACAUCGUGCCAGGGACAUAGAAUGGGUACAACCUGGACUUUCGUACUAUACCGUAUCAUAUCACAUCGCAUCAUAUCGAGGACUAAGGAUCAUCCAAUAACCAUCCACAUCAUCAUCAAAAUUAUGCAAUGCAACAUAUUCGUGAAUUCUAAUGCAACAACCUAAAUCAUCACAUGGCAUUCAUGAUGCAUGAGCAUGCUCAAACCGUAUAAUUUAUUUGCUUUAAAACAUAAAGGUUUAUUCUACUCACCUCAACUAGCUCUGACAAAGACUGAAGCAGCUGACUCACUGCUGGGGUCCUCGGUUUCUCGGGUUCGAACCUACACAGGUGGACUCAAAUGAGGGACCAAACAACUAGAACAUAACUCUAAAAACAUCCCCUAAAAACCCUCUAAAACACCUCAAAACAUCCAUGCAAAAACAUACAAAGGAAGGCUGAACAGGGCACUUUCGGCGGCAGGUUCGGCGGCCGAAAGUCCCUCCAGAGCCGAAAGUCAGGCAGGUUCGGUGGCACCUUCGGCGGUCGAAACUCCCAGACAGAGACGAAACUCAUGCAUGCUCGGCGGCACUUUCGGCGGCCGAAACUGCCCUCCAGAGACGAAAGUCCUCUUUCGGAGGCAGGCUCCGGCAGCUGAAAGGCUGGCCUCCCAGGCAGGUUCGGCGGCCGAAAGUCCUUCGACUGCCGAACCUGGUUUCUGCCAAAGGGCAGAAACUUGGUUCCUCAUGCACAUUUGUCUUCCAAAACCAUCCAAACAUGCAUUUUUCCUAAUCUACAACAUACAUACUCAAGCAUACAAGUUCCUAGGGGCUUCAAACUAUCUUAAACCCCAUCUACAACACAUCAAACAUCCACAUUGUCCAAAAACAUAACAUGAACCCAUAAACCUAACCAUAAGCUAAAUAUGCAUUCUACCCCAUAGAUCUACUUAAAACUUACUUAAAACAUGCUAUAAGCUCAAGAUCGGCCCUUACCUCUUGAAGAUCGAGAGGAGAACGACCCUAGCUCGGAAAAUGGGAGAGAGAAAGUUCCUUGAACCUUCAAGCUCCAAAACUUGCUCAAAUGCUCAAAACCUUCAAAACAAAGUUGUAACUCAUAAAAGUCAUGAAGAAUGGAAGGAAGAAACUCAAGAUCGGUGAGGGACGGCGGAGAGCUCACCUUGGCCGAAAAUGGGGAGAAAAACUCGCCCGUUUUCGGCUAAGGGACCCUUUUAUAGGUGGCUGGCCAUGCCACAUUCGGGAGCCGAACGUGCCUCCGCAACGCAUGCAAGUUCGGCGGCCGAACAUGAGGUUCGGCGGCCGAACCUGGACUUCCCUCACUUAUGAUUUCGGGGGCCUAAGGCACACCCGAAGCGCAUGCAUGUUCGGCGGCCGAACCUGAUUUUUCCUCCAAGGUUGUUUUCAUGCAAAAACUCAUUUCCUUUUUACUUAAAAUCAUGAAAUACAUUAAAACAUUUUAUGAAAACAUGUUUCUACCCUACUAGAGGCUUCCGACAUCCGAGAUUCCACCGGACGGUAGGAAUUCCGAUACCGGAACCUAGCCGGGUAUUACAGUAUAUAUAAACGGGUUAAAAACAAUUAAAUAAUUUAGAUUAAAAAUUUUAAACUACCUAAAAAAUAGGUUGAAUGGAGUUAAUGAGUCUACGAAAAAAUGACCGAAUUAAUAAUCUAUAAGAAAAUGACUGUCUAUAUCUAUGUGAGACGAGAGGGAGCUGAACUAGGAACCACAAUAUUUAAUUCGCUUUAUGCAUUCUCAAACAGUUUCUGAAAUUGCUAAAAAGAAAGUGUAAGCAUGUACAUCUUACCAUCCUUCCUUUUGUAUUAAUUUUCAAUGUCGAUUUGGACCGCUUCAAAUGGUCAUAAAGUUUUCUUUUUCACCCCUGGAGUUUUAUUUAUUUUUUAAUUUAUUUUCUCUUCCCCUAUAUUUUUUUGGUUUAAUGGAGAGUUAGGAUCUGGGAAUUUCUACUGCUAAAUUGUUUACAAGGAAUAUUAAUUACUGUUCUUGAAAUAAAAUAACUUAAAAAUUUUCAAGUAUCUAAUUCUGUUUAUCAUAAUAAUUAAUAAAUAUCAUAUAAUAGCAUAGUUUUACGAUUGGUGGUCGCUAAAAUUUAUUUUUUAAACUUAGCAUAUGAUUCAAUUUAAGACUUUUUUAUUUUCUGUGGAAACAUGGUAAUAGGAUGGCCUUAUUCUAAUAAUUUUACAAUUGAAUGGAGAACAUAUAUAGUAUAACAUCCCAUUUUAUAAAAUCAAAAAUUUUCUCAUUUACUCGCUAAACUAUACAUAUAGCGAACAUGAUGAAAAAUAACUUAUUAUUAUGAAUCUCAUAAUUAUUUUAUUUACGAAAAUAAAUUUAUUAUAUUUUUAUUUAUUUCUCUUAAAUUAUAGAUAAAAAAGUAAAAUUUAUUUGUUUUAAAAGAUAAUAUAGUAAUUAAACAAUAUAAUUAUAAAACACAAUAUAAAAUUUAUUGCUUUCACUAUAUUAAUUUAAAAAUAAUUAAAAAUCUUAUAUUGUGCUGCUUAUAUAUAUUUUGCAUUAUAUAUGUAGUGGGCGUAUAAAGGAAACCAAUCUUAUUUAAAAAGGGGAAAAAAAAAGGCAACUCAAUAAUUUCCAAGAAGUGGUUGGGUCAGACAAUGGCACAAUAGUCUGAGAUGAGUUGGUGAUUUGAAUGGUUCAAGCUUGGCCAUGGAGACUCAGCAGAUAUAUAACCCAGAUAGUAACUCUACAGUGGCGUCUGAAAUGGUAAGAUUUUGGAGUUUGAAUCUUAAUUUAAAUUUAAUUAAAAAACAGACAAUGUCUAAUUUCAUUCGGUUGGACAAAUGUCUACAUCUUAUGUUAGUUAAUAAUGCCUGCUCGACAAUGUCUCUUAUUAUUAUUAUUAUUAUUUUUAUUUUAAUUGAUUAAGAUAUUCUGCUAUAUCUUUUCAUAUUUUAAUAGAAGCAGAAGGUCUUAUAAAUAUUUUUAUAAUUUGCAACAACUAUCCAAUCAAGUUUCUUACUGGAUUCUAACCAAGAAGCCCAUGUUCCAUUUUCCACGUCUGCAGCAUUUAAUUAACUUUUUUUAUAUAUAUAUAUAUAUAUGUUAUGUUAAGCUUAUCACAUAUUAUUAAUAAACUAUGUAAAAAAAUGGAAAAGAGGGAAGCUUCAAGGUUUACCAUGCUACCAAGCAAUUACUAAUAUAGAGUUGUAACCUCUAAAUUCAUACAAUUCACAUUAUUAAUAAGAGAUUCAUACAUAAGGAAUGUGUAUAUGUUUAUACACAAGGAAGAGAAAUUUUAUAAGCCAUUAGGACUCGCUACGGAUGCAGAUGAUGCGGAAACAUUGCCGCAGGAAUCCAAUUCAACAAUAGCAGGCUAGCUAUAGAUUGGGUAAAGACUCACUACGUAACGAAGCCAUUAGGACCAGAAAUUCCCUAGACACCACUAUAGGAAGAACACUUAGGCUGCUGAUAAUUGAAUUAAUAGUAGAUAAAAAACGUUUUGUAAUCUCAAGUUUUUUUUUUUUUUUUUUUUAGCAAUAUGAAGCAGAUAAACAAAACGGUUAAACUUAAAUAAGAAUAAAAUGAAUCUUUGAGCCUUAGAUAAUCUGAUUCGAUUGUUAGUAUUGAUUUAAUAAUUCUUUCUCUCUUAUUAUUAUUUUUUUAAGUGUUUCGGCCAAUAUUUCAAGUAAACGAACAGGUAGAGAAGGCAUACCCAAAAGUCUCUUUAUUGAAUUAUUAUAAAACCACCUUGAAUGCACACAUUUGCAUAUAAUUAGAAUAUGCUUGCUCAAUUAUUGGAGACAAGUGCAUGAAACAUAACUAAACAUUAUUUUAAAACAAUGAGCAGCAUUGACUUCAAAUGGUUGUUUUAUGUGGUCGCAAACAGUUUCUGCAGUUUUUCUACUGUAUAAUUAUCCAAUUGGAAAGCCUUAGCUAGAACAUCAGGAUUAAUGGGUGGAUUAGGCCCGAAGAUUGCAUUUGCUAUGGUGAUGACGCCUGGGUUUUGGCUGCUUAAACCUGCAAACGCAACUGCAUUCGUCUUUGCAAUAUUAAAUUGAAAGUGGAUGAGACCAAUUGGGAAGACAAAAACAUCUCCUGGGUAUAAAACUUUGGUGAAUAAGCGAUUGGGGUUGGAUGUGACAAAGCCAACAUAAAGAGUGCCUUCCACCACUACAAGGAUUUCUGUGGCACGAGGGUGAAUGUGGGGAGGAUUUAAGCCACCAUAGGGAGCAAAGUCUAACCGAGCAAGGGAAAUACCAAGAGUAUUAAGUCCUGGAAUUUUGUCAACGUUUAUGAGGGUGACAUUUGAUCCAACUCGGUUUCCUGUAAAUGCUGGAAUAUUGAGUCCCGAAAUAGAGAAAUCACCAGCUACAGUAAGAUUUGGGUUCUUGCAGAACUUCCCAUUAACAAACACUGCAUUAAUAUGUAAAAAGUUAGUAUUAGUAUCCAUUGGACUUGCAAAUAACAAAAUAAGAAAAAAGAUUAAUAUUUUGAUGUAUACCAGCAUUCUUAGGUUCAGGAAUUGCAACACAAAAGUCCUGGAGAGGGCUAGGGUCAGAAGCUGAGGCAAAAGAGAAAGCCAAAGCCAAAGCCAAUGGGAGAAGGAAAUGAAAGGCCUUCAUUUUAUGAGAACUUUCUGUAGCUAGGCUUUAGUUGUUGAGCUGAAGGUGUGAAAAAUCUUGAAAGAAUAGAUGAGUAUUUAUAGAGAAAGCCUCUCGAAUGGUCGCCUAUUUUCUAUUUCAUCAAUUCUUCUAUAAGAUGCUUGUUGAAUGAUCAACUGUUUGUAAUCAUUACAUCAUCCCUCCUGGACUGGUUCAACACUAAAAACUCUUUCAAGCUUAUGUUAGUUUUAUUUUAUUUUAUAUUUAAUGAAGGAAAAUAAAAGCAAAAAAACUAAACAUGAUCAAGGCUGGUUCAACACUGCUUUUGGCUUAAAAGAGAGAGAGAGAGAUCUUUAGGGAUUUGUAUGAUAAUGUUUUAAAGCUGAAAUUGGAAAUUAAAACUUAAGCUACAAAACAGUUAGUUAAAUAACUUUAUAAAAAAAUUAUCUAAUUACUUAUUUUAUUAAAUACUAUUAAUUAGUGUAAUUGUAUUAAGAGGUAGUUGUUGCAUUAAGAAAUUCUUGCAUUAUGAUCAAGCACAGCAGUCCAGUCUAAUGGCGAUGGAAAUUAAAUUAUUAAAAGUGAAGUCACUGGAAUCAAUACCGAAUAUCCAAGAUUUGUUGCCUUUCUAUUAUGGACUCCUAAUCCUGAAAUGGAUGGGAUAACUUGAGCUGACUUUAUAUUUUAGCAUUGGACUUAACAACUCAUUACUUUAUAUUACAACUAGGAUUAGGAUUAGGAUUAGGAUAUAUAUAAGGACAAUAAUGAACCCUUAAUUAAUCAUAAUUAUUUAUUCAUAAAUGAAAUUUUCAAACUGUUGUGUGUGAAUUUUAUUGGGUCUCUCAAGCUUAGGGCUUCUAUUGUCCUAUCAAAAAUUCAAUGUCCCCAAAUUAUAAAUAAAAAAUCACAAAGUUGACGGUUUAACAGAAGAUUAUAUAUAUAUAUCCAAUAGCACCUAAUUCAGAAUUUUUUUCUUACUUGACCAAAUUCAGAACUUAAUUUGGACAUAUUAUAUAUAUAAAAACUUACGUGUUCCCCUACUUAUUUAAGGCAUAAAUUGUUGAAUAUAAUUAAUAAAGUUAAAUGAUUAGCUUUCGAUCCCACAUUUAAAAUUUAUGAGAGAAUAUGAAAAGAUAUGUUUGUUGAUCUCAAAAAAAUGUGUUUAUUAUUAAAAAGUGUGUCUAUUAUCUUAAUAAUUAUUAUGAACAAUUAUGUCCCAAAAAUAUAUUUGUUGAUUUGAUAACUAUUAAUCCUUCUUCUGCACUUUCUAAUAUCAUUGCAUGACCCGUGUUAAUUUCCAGUCGAUAUCCUUAAAAGUCUCUUCCGACGACUACUCCUCUUCCUCCAACUUUGCCUUUUUCUUAGACUAUAUUUGAAUUGUCUCUUUCCGAGUCCUUGGAUAUCGAUAAAAACUUCCUCCCUUAUCUUGGAAGCCAUUAAUGAGGCAUCUUCUCAAAUUUUAUACUGCUCGAGAGUAGUCUGCAACCUCUUAAUGUAUUGGAGUAUUUGCUCGUUAUUCAAAUUGUUAAGAUCUAUCUUGUUGACCACAGAGAGUGUGUUUUGUCCACUGUUAGGAGUGAAAAAAAUGAUAACAUCUUUGUUGGUAGCAGCUUUAGAAAUAGCUCGUGAAUUGUCAGCUAUCUCGAGAAAGGAAGAAAUGAAAGAUUUCUUUUUAAGAGAAAGGAAAUAAGAGGCUAGUUUUAAUUCAAAUGAACAAAGAUAAUUCAAUAGAUUUUCCGGCAAUAGAAUCAAAUGAUAUGGCCGAAAUGAAGUUGUGCCGUGAUUGGUCAAUCCUGCAAAAAAGAGAAUGUGAGUUGGUUGGCACCUAUGGCAACCACUCCAACUGAUAAGGGAUUAUUAGCUUUUAUACUGUAAGAAAAUGAAAUUAAUUAUGAUAAUCUCCUAAAAAUUCGGUUGGUAUCGGCUAAUUAAUAUGGUAUUUGUAAUUAUAAGCAUAAUGAGAAUCUGCUGGAUAGUAGCCGUUAACGGUAACUUUCCAUAAAGUCUCUUCUUAUAGUUGAGAGGGCGAGUUUUGACGAAGAGCUGAGUCCUGAAGCGUCUGAAUUUUCUUUUCCUUUGAUGGGACUAAGUAUCACCUUAUCAGACUCUUACCAUGUAGCCCUGUCUUCGAAUGCCAAUACAUGGCCUACUUUAAUCAAUUAUUGUGUAAUAUCAAAAAUCCUAUAUGGUCCUUUACUUAUUUAAGUCAUAAAUUGCUGGACAUAGUUAGUACAACUAAAUGAUUACAUUUCAAUCUCACAUUUAAAAUUUAUGAGAAAAUCUGAAAAGUUAUGUCUUUUGAUCUCUCAAAAUGUGUGUCUAUUGCUUAAAAAGUAUGUUUGUUAUCUUAAUAACUAUUAUAAACCGUUAUGUUUCAAAGUUAUGUCUGUUGGCUUGAUAACAUUAUGAAAUUUUAUAUAUCAAAUAAGUGUAUGUUAAUUUGAUAACUAUUAUAAACCCGUUUUUAUAAAUAUUUAUCUACCAUUUACUACUUAUUUCUCCUCGACACUCAAAAUAUUUUUUAUUUUAAUUAUAAGUAAAUUUCUAUAAUUAUUAUAUAGAAUUUCAUGGGUCAAUUCUGAGAAAAAUCUGCCAGACCGUGAGAACCUAAUUUCUUAAAGAAAAGUGAUUACAAGCAUAACAUAUAUUUUUAUUAUUUUUAUUAUUUGUUUUAACAUAAAUUUUUUUUAUUUAUUUACUUAAUUAAUAAAUAAAAAAUAUGACUUCUUUACCACGUUUGUUUUGGUUACUACACCUGUUUAAUAAUUUUCUGAAUCAAGUAUUUAAAAAAAAAAAAAUUAACCUGUCAUAUUUGAUUGAGUGAAAAUUAAAUAGAUUUUUUUUAUUAUAUCAACAAUAUCAAUUUAGGUAUCGACCAGAAUGAUUGGUUGAUUUGAACCAAAUUAAAAAAUAAAAAUGAAAAUCAUUAUUUUUCUCAAUUAAGUAAAAGAAUGUUCAUUUUUCAACAUAUUGAACAUCUGAGUAAAGUUUUCUUUUAUGAUAAAAAAUGAUAAGUACAUUUUACAAUUUUUUUUUUAGCAAGAGCUAGCUGAAUAAUAUGAUUAAAGUCUUUGGAUUAAACUAAGUUAUCUUGCCACGUGGUUAUUAAACUAAAUUAAUUUAUAUUUAUUUAUAGCUAUAAGUAAAUAUAUAAGGAUAAUUAAAAAUUAAUUAAAUCAUGGACGUUGAUACUGCACGAACCCAAUCCAACAGUUGCAGGCUAGAGAUUCACUUCAAAGAGAGCAACGACGUCAUUAGGGAGAGAAAUUCCCUGCUGCAACAACUAUCGAAAUCGAGUUUCUUUUACGUAUUAAUUAAAUACUGAAUUCUAACCCCAUUUUCCUCGUCUUCAGCAUCUAAUUAACCUUUUUUUUUUAUGUUAUGUUAAGCUUAUCACGUUAUUAAUAAAUUAAAUGAAUAUUCAGAAAAAAAAAAGGAUUAGCUGGGAUAAAUCCCGAUAAUCAACCUUUUCAAUAAUCAAUAUGAAUUAACAGUAGAUGAAAAAUGUUUAGUAAUAUCAAGUUUAUCGUUUCUCUUUUAGUAAUUUCAAAAACAUAAAUAAAAAAAUUAAACUCAAAUCAAAACUAUAAGAAUCAUUUGAUUCUUAAAUAAUCUGGUUGGAUUGUUCUCAUACACUUUUUUUCAAGUGUUUCAGCCAAUGACAUUUUAAGUAAACUGCAGAAUCCAAAAUAAAUAUAUUUAAAUAUAUAUGACACACCCAAAAGGCUCUUUAUUGAAUUGUGAUAAACAUAUCAAGAAUACAUUUAACAGAAAGUAUACUUGUUCAAUUAUUGGAAACAUAAACAUCGCAUAUAACUAAUCACAAAUAAUUUUUAUUUAAAUUGAGUUUAUAUAGACUCAUAAUAUAAAUAUAUAAGGUAUUUUAUUAUUUAUUUAUAUUAUGAGUUCACAUAAAUUUAGUUUAUAUAAAUAUUAUUUUAUGCGUUUGCAAAUAGUUUCUGCAGUUUUUCUACUGUAUAAUUAUCCAAUUGGAAGGCCUUAGCUAGAACAUCAGGAUUAAUGGGUGGAUUAGGCCCGAAGAUUGCAUUUGCUAUGGUGAUGACGCCUGGGUUUUGGCUGCUUAGACCAGCAAAGGCAACUGCAUUCGUCUUUGCAAUGUUAAACUGGAAGUGGAUGAGACCAAUUGGAAAUACAAAAACAUCUCCUGGGUAUAAGACUUUGGUGAACAAACGAUUGGGGUUGGAUGUGACAAAUCCAACAUAAAGGGUGCCCUCCACAACUACAAGGAUCUCUGUGGCACGAGGGUGAGUGUGGGGAGGGUUUAAGCCACCAUUGGGAGCAAAGUCUAACCGAGCGAGAGAAAUACCAAGAGUGUUAAGUCCUGGUAUUUUAUCAACG